AGAGUUUGAUCAUGGCUCAGGAUGAACGCUGGCGGCGUGCUAACACAUGCAAGUCGAGCGAUUUACUUCGGUAAAGAGCGGCGGACGGGUGAGUAACGCGUGGGUAACCUGCCCUGUACACACGGAUAACAUACCGAAAGGUAUGCUAAUACGAGAUAAUAUGCUUUUAUCGCAUGGUAGAAGUAUCAAAGCUUUUGCGGUACAGGAUGGACCCGCGUCUGAUUAGCUAGUUGGUAAGGUAACGGCUUACCAAGGCGACGAUCAGUAGCCGACCUGAGAGGGUGAUCGGCCACAUUGGAACUGAGACACGGUCCAAACUCCUACGGGAGGCAGCAGUGGGGAAUAUUGCACAAUGGGCGAAAGCCUGAUGCAGCAACGCCGCGUGAGCGAUGAAGGCCUUCGGGUCGUAAAGCUCUGUCCUCAAGGAAGAUAAUGACGGUACUUGAGGAGGAAGCCCCGGCUAACUACGUGCCAGCAGCCGCGGUAAUACGUAGGGGGCUAGCGUUAUCCGGAAUUACUGGGCGUAAAGGGUGCGUAGGUGGUUUCUUAAGUCAGAGGUGAAAGGCUACGGCUCAACCGUAGUAAGCCUUUGAAACUGGGAAACUUGAGUGCAGGAGAGGAGAGUGGAAUUCCUAGUGUAGCGGUGAAAUGCGUAGAUAUUAGGAGGAACACCAGUUGCGAAGGCGGCUCUCUGGACUGUAACUGACACUGAGGCACGAAAGCGUGGGGAGCAAACAGGAUUAGAUACCCUGGUAGUCCACGCCGUAAACGAUGAGUACUAGCUGUCGGAGGUUACCCCCUUCGGUGGCGCAGCUAACGCAUUAAGUACUCCGCCUGGGAAGUACGCUCGCAAGAGUGAAACUCAAAUGAAUUGACGG
Molecule: ribosomal RNA, 878 nt
Filed under: uncultured bacterium
Lineage: Bacteria
Description: bacterial SSU rRNA
Rfam family: Bacterial small subunit ribosomal RNA
Source: RNAcentral